CCUACGGGUGGCAGCAGUGGGGAAUAUUGCACAAUGGGGGAAACCCUGAUGCAGCGACGCCGCGUGAGUGAAGAAGUAAUUCGUUACGUAAAGCUCUAUCUGCAGGGAAGAAACACUGACCUUACGGCCAGCAGACGGUACCUGUGUAAGAAGCCCCGGCUAACUACGUGCCGGCAGCCGCGGUAUUAAGUAGGGGGUAAGCGCUAUCCGGAUUUACUGGGGGUAAAGGGGGCGUAGACGGUGCGCCAAGUCUGGAGGGAAAUGCCGCAGCUUAACUGCGGAACUGCUUUGGAAACUGGCGCACUAGAGUGCGGGAAGGGUAAGCGGAAUUCCUGGUGUAGCGGUGAAAUGCAUAGAUAUUAGGAAGAACACCGAUGGCGAAGGCAGCUUACUGGCCCGUAACUGACGUUGAGGCUCGAAAGCGUGGGGAGCAAACAGGAUUAGAUACCCGAGUAGUC
This 458-nucleotide ribosomal RNA is filed under the name uncultured bacterium. RNAcentral's name for it is "partial 16S ribosomal RNA". It matches the Rfam family "Bacterial small subunit ribosomal RNA", at positions 338 to 795 of the family's 1533-position model. The record is from RNAcentral.